GUCCACGCCCUAAACGAUGCAUACUUGGUGUGAGCGAUUCAUUUCGUUCGUGCCGGAGUUAACGCGUUAAGUAUGCCGCCUGGGGGAGUACGGUCGCAAGGCUGAAACUCAAAAGGAAUUGGACGGGGGCCCGCACAAGCGGUGGAGCAUGUGGUUCAAUUCGACGCAACGCGAAGAACCUUACCUGGGCUCGAACGGCUUAAGACAUUCCUUGGAAACAGGGACUUCUCGCAAGAGACUUGAGUCGAGGUGCUGCAUGGCUGUCGU
RNAcentral lists this ribosomal RNA (267 nucleotides) under uncultured bacterium. RNAcentral describes it as "partial 16S ribosomal RNA". It matches the Rfam family "Bacterial small subunit ribosomal RNA", at positions 793 to 1055 of the family's 1533-position model. The record is from RNAcentral.